AGCAGCCGCGGUAAUUCCAGCUCCAAUAGCGUAUAUUAAAGUUGUUGCAGUUAAAAAGCUCGUAGUUGAAUUUCAGGCCUGGCUGGACGGUCCGCCCUUCGGGUGAGUACUGUCUGUGGUCGGGUCCUACCUUCUGGCGAAGCGUCAUGGCCUUAACCGGCCGUGGCGGGGAACCAGGACUUUUACUGUGAAAAAUUAGAGUGUUCAAAGCAGGCAAUCGCUUGGAUACAUUAGCAUGGAAUAAUGGAAUAGGACAAUGGUUCUAUUUGUUGGUUUCUAGGACCGUUGUAAUGAUUAAUAGGGAUAGUUGGGGGCAUUAGUAUUCAAUUGUCAGAGGUGAAAUUCUUGAAUUUAUUGAAGACUAACUACUGCGAAAGCAUUUGCCAAGGAUGUUUUCAUUAAUCAAGAACGAAAGUUAGGGGAUCGAAGACGAUCAGAUACCGUCGUAGU
Molecule: ribosomal RNA, 450 nt
Filed under: uncultured Paraglomus
Lineage: Eukaryota; Fungi; Glomeromycota; Glomeromycetes; Paraglomerales; Paraglomeraceae
Description: SSU rRNA
Rfam family: Eukaryotic small subunit ribosomal RNA
Source: RNAcentral